GAAGCAAUGGAUAAGUGAUGUCAUGUUCAAUUGGAGAUGUAAAUUGUUACUGAAGUGUGUGAAGUUAUGAGUAUGACCACUUAUUUAUGAGAGGAAACUUAUGAAGUAAUUUAGAUGCUCAAAAAGGCUUUCUCAUGACGUUCUUAUUCUAUUGCUUAAAAUGUAUGUUAUGCCCUCAGGGAGUAAUACCACUCUUGCUAUGUUAGAAUAUGAUGAUAUUGCUGAUUUGGUUAUUACAAUAUUGCAUUUUCUGUUUCUGUUUCAAGUUAGGGAAACAAUGUGAUAAUUGUUAUCUUUGUGCAUAGUGAAUCUUUUUUGUUGGAAUGAAGUGGGACUCAUUUUGGAAUUACCAAGUUUUCUUUGCUACCAGGGUACUUAUCUCUUCCAUAAUGGAUCUCACAAAAUUAUAUCUUUCAUUCAUCAAAGAUUUGAUAGGUUUUUGUUUGCACUUUUGACCUCUUCCAUAAUGGAUCUUAUAAAAUUAUAUC
RNAcentral lists this long non-coding RNA (488 nucleotides) under Nicotiana benthamiana. RNAcentral describes it as "long non-coding RNA (NBEN_LNC008465)". The record is from RNAcentral. Lineage: Eukaryota; Viridiplantae; Streptophyta; Magnoliopsida; Solanales; Solanaceae.